CCUACGGGAGGCAGCAGUGGGGAAUUUUGGACAAUGGGCGCAAGCCUGAUCCAGCCAUGCCGCGUGCGGGAAGAAGGCCUUCGGGUUGUAAACCGCUUUUGUCAGGGAAGAAAAGGUUCUGGUUAAUACCUGGGACUCAUGACGGUACCUGAAGAAUAAGCACCGGCUAACUACGUGCCAGCAGCCGCGGUAAUACGUAGGGUGCAAGCGUUAAUCGGAAUUACUGGGCGUAAAGCGUGCGCAGGCGGUUAUGCAAGACAGAGGUGAAAUCCCCGGGCUCAACCUGGGAACUGCCUUUGUGACUGCAUAGCUAGAGUGCGGCAGAGGGGGAUGGAAUUCCGCGUGUAGCAGUGAAAUGCGUAGAUAUGCGGAGGAACACCGAUGGCGAAGGCAAUCCCCUGGGCCUGCACUGACGCUCAUGCACGAAAGCGUGGGGAGCAAACAGGAUUAGAUACCCUGGUAGUCCACGCCCUAAACGAUGUCAACUGGUUGUUGGGAGGGUUUCUUCUCAGUAACGUAGCUAACGCGUGAAGUUGACCGCCUGGGGGAGUACGGCCGCGAGUAGAACGACGAAAGAGUAGUAGACGNGUAGAGACGACGACGACGACGACGACGGAGGGAGGAGG
Molecule: ribosomal RNA, 626 nt
Filed under: uncultured bacterium
Lineage: Bacteria
Description: bacterial SSU rRNA
Rfam family: Bacterial small subunit ribosomal RNA (bases 1-542)
Source: RNAcentral